This 75-nucleotide transfer RNA is filed under the name Planctomycetota bacterium. RNAcentral's name for it is "Planctomycetes bacterium (activated sludge metagenome) tRNA-Thr". It matches the Rfam family "tRNA". From Rfam's summary of the family: Transfer RNA (tRNA) molecules are approximately 80 nucleotides in length. Their secondary structure includes four short double-helical elements and three loops (D, anti-codon, and T loops). The record is from RNAcentral. Lineage: Bacteria; Pseudomonadati; Planctomycetota.
GCCUGAGUAGCUCAGUGGUAGAGCAACGCAUUCGUAAUGCGUAGGUCGUGAGUUCGACUCUCACCUCAGGCUCCA